Molecule: ribosomal RNA, 460 nt
Filed under: uncultured bacterium
Lineage: Bacteria
Description: partial 16S ribosomal RNA
Rfam family: Bacterial small subunit ribosomal RNA
Source: RNAcentral
CCUACGGGAGACAGCAGUGAGGAAUAUUGGUCAAUGGGCGAGAGCCUGAACCAGCCAAGUCGCGUGAAGGAUGAAGGAUCUCUGGUUUGUAAACUUCUUUUAUAUGGGAAUAAAGUGAGGAACGUGUUCGAUUUUGUAUGUACCAUAUGAAUAAGCAUCGGCUAACUCCGUGCCAGCAGCCGCGGUAAUACGGAGGAUGCGAGCGUUAUCCGGAUUUAUUGGGUUUAAAGGGUGCGUAGGUGGUUAAUUAAGUCAGCGGUGAAAGUUUGUGGCUCAACCAUAAAAUUGCCGUUGAAACUGGUUGACUUGAGUAUAUUAGAGGUAGGCGGAAUGCGUGGUGUAGCGGUGAAAUGCAUAGAUAUCACGAAGAACACCGAUGGCGAAGGCAGCUUACUAGACUAUAACUGACACUGAGGCACGAAAGCGUGGGGAGCAAACAGGAUUAGAUACCCUUGUAGUC